GCCCAAAAUGCUUAAGCCCAGUUAUUAUUACUAGUGUCUAAGUCUCUUAUAAACCCAAUGACAACCCCAUUCCUAUCCGAUGUGGGACUAUUGGGGUGUCACAGACUCCCCCCGUUAAGGUCCUGACGUCCUCGUCAGUCCAAUCACACACAGCCCAAGAUCACCAGGCUAUGUGAGACUCGUCUCGCUAGCCCGUCAUCCAGACCCUGGCUCAGCCGAGACUCGCCACACAUGUCCAGCUGGUGAACCGGCUCUGAUACCAAAUGUAACGACCCAGCCCACUAGCAACAAUAACUCGUUGGGCCCAACCACUGGCCCAAAAUGCUUAAGCCCAGUUAUUAUUACUAGUGUCUAAGUCUCUUAUAAACCCAAUGACAACCCCAUUCCUAUCCGAUGUGGGACUAUUGGGGUGUCACACUUGGAUAAUUUAGUUUCUCUUCCUAUCUCAGGUAUUCUACUGUACGGUGUGGAACAUAUAGUAAAUCUUCAUCAGAAUGCGUAUGAGAAGGUGGCAGGACUAAUACCCCUUUAUAUAGAAUGCAAAUCGAUUCCCCAUCAAAGUCUAGGAUUCUAUUUAAUUUAAAUAGAUAGGAUAGGGAUAAAAUAUAUCAUAUCAAGUAGUUCUAUAUCUAUUAGUAUUAACCUUUAUCUAUAGUAAAUCCAAAUUUGAAUAUGAUUGAUUGGGCCAUAUUUAUGGAAAUCCUAACAAUCUCCCACUUGACUCAUAUUAAUCAUACUCCAUGAGCUGAUUUUUUAUACUCCAAACUUUAUUGCGCAUUAUUGAAAAUUUUAUGGUCAAAUACUUUAGAACUCGCUUGAUUUUUAGCUCAAACUAAAUGACUACAAUGAUACGAACUAUAGCGGUCCAUUUCUUCAUAUUGAAAAUUUUCUUUCAUAAUUACCAUAUCAUCUUCAUUUCCUAACUGAGUAUUUUAUAUAGUACAACUUUAUGAAUGAAUUUAAAACUAUAUGUCCAUUCGUUAAUAGACAACUUUAUGUCUAUUAAAUGGUCCAGCACAGUUGCAUUAAACUUUAACUUUAUUGAAAGAAGAUAAAUAUUACAACUUUAUACAUCAACAGAACUAAUCAAACUUAUACCGCUAAUAU
This 1107-nucleotide long non-coding RNA is filed under the name Ananas comosus (pineapple). RNAcentral's name for it is "long non-coding RNA (ACOM_LNC013403)". The record is from RNAcentral. Lineage: Eukaryota; Viridiplantae; Streptophyta; Magnoliopsida; Poales; Bromeliaceae.